This is a small nucleolar RNA of Cololabis saira (Pacific saury), 92 nucleotides long. NCBI's taxonomy places the organism in Eukaryota, Metazoa, Chordata, Actinopteri, Beloniformes, Belonidae. The record is from RefSeq and is a predicted model, not a curated record.
CUCCUCCUGUGAUGACUUGCACUGGGCUCUGAUUGUGCGUGGAGACUGUUGUGCAGCUUUGGCCCUGACAAGCCAGAGUUUCUGAGGAGAUG